This 621-nucleotide ribosomal RNA is filed under the name uncultured bacterium. RNAcentral's name for it is "bacterial SSU rRNA". It matches the Rfam family "Bacterial small subunit ribosomal RNA", at positions 53 to 690 of the family's 1533-position model. The record is from RNAcentral.
GCAUGCAGUCGAGCGACGCAUGUAACCCACUGGUAUGACGGAGCGGCGAACGGGUGAGUAACACGUGAGUAACCUGCCCCACAGACCGGGACAGCCCAGGGAAACCUGGAUUAAUACCGGAUAUCCUCGAAGGAUCGCAUGAUCUUUCGAGGAAAUGCCUUUGUGCUGUGGGAUGGGCUCGCGACUUAUCAGCUAGUUGGUGGGGUAACGGCCUACCAAGGCGUCGACGAGUAGCUGGUCUGAGAGGACGAUCAGCCACACUGGGACUGAGACACGGCCCAGACUCCUACGGGAGGCAGCAGCAGGGAAUCUUGCGCAAUGGGCGAAAGCCUGACGCAGCAACGCCGCGUGGGGGAUGAAGGCCUUCGGGUUGUAAACCCCUUUCAGGAGGGAAGAAAUUGACGGUACCUCCAAAAGAAGCACCGGCCAACUACGUGCCAGCAGCCGCGGUAAUACGUAGGGUGCGAGCGUUAUCCGGAAUCAUUGGGCGUAAAGAGCUCGUAGGCGGUUCAGUAAGUCGGCUGUGAAAUUUCGAGGCUCAACCUCGAAACUGCAGUCGAAACUGCUGUGACUCGAGUCCGGUAGAGGAGAAUGGAAUUCCCGGUGUAGCGGUGAAAUGCG